GUGAAUCAUCGAAUCUUGAACGCAAAUUGCACUCACUGGUAUUUCGGAGGGUAUGCCUGUUUGCGGGUCAGUUUAAAUAAAAAUCGGUGUGGUUGCUGCCUUUCGUGGUGACGUACCGGAUUUGGGUCGUCUCGCCUUCAGUUAAGUGACCUAAAAUUUUGCAUGAUUUUUUCGAACGUAUUUAAAUGAUUUUACGUAUGUUUGUGAUAUAGAAUACUAGGUGUGGUCAUCCUCAUGAUUCGUCCCUAUAACUUUUCAUUAAAAUGACCUCAAAUCAGGUAAGAGUACCCGCUGAACUUAA
RNAcentral lists this unclassified non-coding RNA (301 nucleotides) under Glomus sp. Its description in RNAcentral is "partial contains 5.8S ribosomal RNA, internal transcribed spacer 2, and large subunit ribosomal RNA". The stretch from base 1 to 70 matches the Rfam family "5.8S ribosomal RNA", at positions 84 to 154 of the family's 154-position model. Lineage: Eukaryota; Fungi; Glomeromycota; Glomeromycetes; Glomerales; Glomeraceae. The record is from RNAcentral.